Molecule: unclassified non-coding RNA, 333 nt
Filed under: soil metagenome
Description: partial contains 5.8S ribosomal RNA, internal transcribed spacer 2, and large subunit ribosomal RNA
Rfam family: 5.8S ribosomal RNA (bases 1-120)
Source: RNAcentral
GAUGAAGAACGUAGCGAAAUGCGAUAAGUAAUGUGAAUUGCAGAAUUCAGUGAAUCAUCGAAUCUUUGAACGCACAUUGCGCCCGCCAGUAUUCUGGCGGGCAUGCCUGUUCGAGCGUCAUUUCAACCAUCAAGCCCCAGGCUUGUGUUGGAGCCCUGCGGCUGCCGCAGCCUCCCAAAACCAGUGGCGGGCUCGCUAUCACACCGAGUGCAGUAGUUUACUCUUCGCUCAGGGCGUGUGGCGGGUGCUAGCCGUAAAACCCCCAACUUCUCAAGGUUGACCUCGGAUCAGGUAGGAAUACCCGCUGAACUUAAGCAUAUCAAUAAGCGGAGA